This is a long non-coding RNA of Scleropages formosus (Asian bonytongue), 1758 nucleotides long. Lineage: Eukaryota; Metazoa; Chordata; Actinopteri; Osteoglossiformes; Osteoglossidae. The record is from Ensembl.
AAGCAGAGGUACUUCAGACAGUCACCAAAGAAACUGAAGAAAAGGUGCAACAAGUAGAAUUACCUGAAAGGAAAGGUAAAUUGAUGUGCAAUUCUUUGUAAGAUGCUCCUUUGUGUCAAUGAGGGCCACACAGAAAGGGGGCAACACAAAUACUGAGAGCCAUGAGCUCUAGAUCUAUUGACGUACAGAAAUAAAUUAUUAUAUUUGAGUCCAUUUACUCUUUGUGAAUCUGCUUUUGAUCACAGAACAAGAUGCUCCUGGAGAAGAAAAAGAAGAAGAAGGUGAUAUCUCAUUUCAUGAAGUACAAUGAGAAGCUGGAAUUGUUUGAACCCUGAUGUAUUUCUUAACAAAAUGAUCUGAAUGUGUUUUCCAGAGCCUAUCAAGGAGGAUCAGCCAAAAGGUAAAAAAAAAAAAAAAACAAGAAAAAGAAAAGCAUACUUUCAAAUGGAGUCACUUUUAUUCAAUCUCUUUGUCAGAUUAUUAUGCUGAGCAUGACCAAGAAAAUGACGGCACAGAGAAUUCUGUCUGAAUAUCCAGCAGUUUCUUCAUUAAAAUUCAAAUUGGUUGAAAUUGUGUUUAUUGCGCUGCUACAAAUAACUAUAUAUUUGCUGGAUAAGCACAUAACUGAACUCGUGCAGAGCAAUAAAUAUGUAUUUUCAGAACCUGACGUUCUUGAUGAGGCACAUGCAGAAGCACCUGUGAAAGAAGGUAAAUGUCUAACGAAGUUCCUGUUCGUUCCAAAUGUUCAAGUGCUCAGAAAAAUAAAGGAAGCUCUUCUUGCAGAGGCAGAGACCCCCAAGGAGGUGCAAACGGGCCCUGUAGGGUCUCAAGAACAUGAGGCUCCUCAAGAAGAAAAGGAGAAAGCUCCUGAGAUUUCUGUAAAAGCACCUACAGAGCAACCCAAACAGGAAGGUACUGUCUAGGUGUUUCUCCAGCGGUUCCCGUAUCAGUAAUUCAAUAGAGAAGUUAAUGUAAAUUGAUUUAAGUGAGUGUAGAUUAAACAUUCUCAGCAAAGUGAGGUGAAUGUGUUUUACAGAGCCUGCAGAGGAAGGUCAACCACAAGGUAAAAUACAUUUAAUCCACACUUUUAAUUUAGCCUCUCUGUCCAACUACUGGUCUCAGCAUCACCAAUGAGAUGCAUACAGCUCAAAAAAGGUGUCAAAUUCAUCAAAGUAAGGAACAGUUUGUCAGCAUUGCUGCUUCUUUUUUAAUUAAAAUUAUCAAAACUGUCUUUAUUAUACUAGACAUAAACACCAAGAGUAAAAAUAACUUGUUUUUUUUUUUUUUUUUUUUUACUAGAAGUUCCUGAAAAAGUUCUAGAACCACAAGUGAAAGGUAAUGGAUGAACAGAUAAUGGCAAAUAUGUUUUAAAUGUUUUCAUUCUGUACUAUUGAGUAUUUAGAUUUAAUUAUUAUUUAGAAAAAAAAAAAAUGUACCUAGUGAGGAAAAAUUGCACUUUCUUUUUCAGAACCAGAAGUUCAUGUAGAAGUUCCAGAAGCAGAAGAGCAAGUGGAACCACCAACUCAAGGUAAAUGGAAUUCGACCACUUUUAAUCAGUAGUAUACUGUCGAAUUAUGAAUACUGUAUAUAUUUUAAGGUGUAGAAGUGUGGAUAGAGAACACCUGUAGUUGUAUAUAAAACCCAUCUAAGUUAAGGGUUAAUAUAAUCUAUUAUGUCAAAUAUAUUGACCGAAGUGUCAUGGUAUUACUGUUUCUCACAGUGAUUACAAUAUUACAAUAUAAUAAUACAAUAUUGGGC